UGCAGUCGGACGGCAGCGCGGGGGCAACCCUGGCGGCGAGUGGCGAACGGGUGAGUAAUACAUCGGAACGUGUCCUGGAGUGGGGGAUAGCCCGGCGAAAGCCGGAUUAAUACCGCAUACGCUCUGUGGAGGAAAGCGGGGGAUCUUCGGACCUCGCGCUCAAGGGGCGGCCGAUGGCAGAUUAGCUAGUUGGUGGGGUAAAGGCCUACCAAGGCGACGAUCUGUAGCUGGUCUGAGAGGACGACCAGCCACACUGGGACUGAGACACGGCCCAGACUCCUACGGGAGGCAGCAGUGGGGAAUUUUGGACAAUGGGGGCAACCCUGAUCCAGCAAUGCCGCGUGUGUGAAGAAGGCCUUCGGGUUGUAAAGCACUUUUGUCCGGAAAGAAAACCGCUUCUCUAAUACAGGGGCGGGAUGACGGUACCGGAAGAAUAAGCACCGGCUAACUACGUGCCAGCAGCCGCGGUAAUACGUAGGGUGCAAGCGUUAAUCGGAAUUACUGGGCGUAAAGCGUGCGCAGGCGGUUCGCUAAGACCGAUGUGAAAUCCCCGGGCUUAACCUGGGAACUGCAUUGGUGACUGGCGGGCUAGAGUAUGGCAGAGGGGGGUAGAAUUCCACGUGUAGCAGUGAAAUGCGUAGAGAUGUGGAGGAAUACCGAUGGCGAAGGCAGCCCCCUGGGCCAAUACUGACGCUCAUGCACGAAAGCGUGGGGAGCAAACAGGAUUAGAUACCCUGGUAGUCCACGCCCUAAACGAUGUCAACUAGUUGUCGGGUCUUCAUUGACUUGGUAACGAAGCUAACGCGUGAAGUUGACCGCCUGGGGAGUACGGUCGCAAGAUUAAAACUCA
This 850-nucleotide ribosomal RNA is filed under the name uncultured bacterium. Its description in RNAcentral is "bacterial SSU rRNA". It matches the Rfam family "Bacterial small subunit ribosomal RNA", at positions 56 to 903 of the family's 1533-position model. The record is from RNAcentral.